This 254-nucleotide ribosomal RNA is filed under the name uncultured bacterium. Its description in RNAcentral is "partial 16S ribosomal RNA". It matches the Rfam family "Bacterial small subunit ribosomal RNA", at positions 1249 to 1500 of the family's 1533-position model. The record is from RNAcentral.
GCAAGACCGUGAGGUGGAGCAAAACUCAAAAACUUGUCUCAGUUCGGAUUGUAGGCUGAAACUCGCCUACAUGAAGCUGGAGUUGCUAGUAAUCGCGAAUCAGCAUGUCGCGGUGAAUACGUUCCCGGGGCCUUGUACACACCGCCCGUCACACCAUGAGAGUUGGCAAUACCCAACGUACGUGAUCUAACCCGCAAGGGAGGAAGCGUCCUAAGGUAGGGUCAGCGAUUGGGGUGAAGUCGUAACAAGGUAGC